Molecule: long non-coding RNA, 254 nt
Filed under: Vitis vinifera (wine grape)
Lineage: Eukaryota; Viridiplantae; Streptophyta; Magnoliopsida; Vitales; Vitaceae
Description: long non-coding RNA (VVIN_LNC008148)
Source: RNAcentral
CUCAGGUAUGCUUUUCUUCUCUCUAUCUUCUCAUUUUUGGGAGAUAUUUGGGGAUUGCUAGUAAGUAUGUUCAGAUAUAUUCUUUUUUAUAUAGUUCUUGCUGAAGAUCAGUUUGUCCUUAUUUCAUCUUCCCCAUGAUAUAUAUGUACUCCUGCUUUGUUUUUUUUGUUUGAUACUCAUUUGAUUUCACCCACCCUCAUCAAGGUCCGUUGAUAACAAUAUGUAAUGUACCUUGUAUGAUUCCCUUUUGUUUC